AAAUUUGAAAUCUGGCACCUUCGGUGUCCGAGUUGUAAUUUGAAGAAGGUAACUUUGGAGUUGGCUCUUGUCUAUGUUCCUUGGAACAGGACGUCACAGAGGGUGAGAAUCCCGUGCGAUGAGAUGUCCAACUCUAUGUAAAGUGCUUUCGAAGAGUCGAGUUGUUUGGGAAUGCAGCUCUAAGUGGGUGGUAAAUUCCAUCUAAAGCUAAAUAUUGGCGAGAGACCGAUAGCGAACAAGUACAGUGAUGGAAAGAUGAAAAGAACUUUGAAAAGAGAGUGAAAAAGUACGUGAAAUUGUUGAAAGGGAAGGGUUUGAGAUCAGACUUGGUAUUUUGUAUGUCUUGCUUUCGGGUGGGGCCUCUGCAGUUUACUGGGCCAGCAUCGGUUUGGACGGUAGGAUAAUGACAUUGGAAUGUGGCACUACUUCGGUGGUGUGUUAUAGACUUUGUUGAUACUGCCUGUCUAGACCGAGGACUGCGUCUUUGACUAGGAUGCUGGCAUAAUGAUCCUAAAC
RNAcentral lists this ribosomal RNA (516 nucleotides) under Scheffersomyces shehatae. RNAcentral's name for it is "eukaryotic LSU rRNA". It matches the Rfam family "Eukaryotic large subunit ribosomal RNA", at positions 111 to 645 of the family's 3401-position model. Lineage: Eukaryota; Fungi; Ascomycota; Pichiomycetes; Serinales; Debaryomycetaceae. The record is from RNAcentral.